UGGCGGCCGUAGCGCGGUGGUCCCACCUGACCCCAUGCCGAACUCAGAAGUGAAACGCCGUAGCGCCGAUGGUAGUGUGGGGUCUCCCCAUGCGAGAGUAGGGAGCAG
RNAcentral lists this ribosomal RNA (108 nucleotides) under Escherichia coli 1-176-05_S1_C2. The record is from RNAcentral. Lineage: Bacteria; Pseudomonadati; Pseudomonadota; Gammaproteobacteria; Enterobacterales; Enterobacteriaceae.